Molecule: ribosomal RNA, 972 nt
Filed under: human gut metagenome
Description: bacterial LSU rRNA
Rfam family: Bacterial large subunit ribosomal RNA
Source: RNAcentral
ACGGUCCUAAGGUAGCGAAAUUCCUUGUCGGGUAAGUUCCGACCUGCACGAAAGGCGCAACGAAUUGGGCGCUGUCUCGACCAUGGACCCGGUGAAAUUCCACUAGUCGUGAAGAUGCGACUUACCCGCGGAAGGACGGAAAGACCCCGUGAACCUUCACUGCAGCUUGGCAUUGGCCGCUGGCCCGUCGCGUAGAGGAUAGGCGGGAGGCUUCGAAGCCCGGGCGCCAGCCCGGGUGGAGCCGACCUUGGAAUACCGCCCUCGGCGCGCCGGCGUCCUAACCCCAUGCCGUCAUCCGGAUGGGGGACCGUGCCAGGUGGGUAGUUUGACUGGGGCGGUCGCCUCCUAAAGGGUAACGGAGGCGCGCGAAGGUCCGCUCGGGACGGUCGGCAACCGUCCUCUUGAGUGCAAGAGCAUAAGCGGGCUUGACUGCGAGGCCUACAAGCCGAGCAGGUGCGAAAGCAGGCUCUAGUGAUCCGGCGGCCCCGCGUGGGUGGGCCGUCGCUCAACGGAUAAAAGGUACUCCGGGGAUAACAGGCUGAUCUUGCCCAAGAGUCCACAUCGACGGCAAGGUUUGGCACCUCGAUGUCGGCUCAUCGCAUCCUGGGGCUGGAGCAGGUCCCAAGGGUACGGCUGUUCGCCGUUUAAAGCGGUACGCGAGCUGGGUUCAGAACGUCGUGAGACAGUUCGGUCCCUAUCCUCCGCGGGCGCAGGAGAAUCGAGGGAGGCUGCCCCUAGUACGAGAGGACCGGGGUGGACGCACCUCUGGUGAACCGGUUGUCGACCAACGGCACGGCCGGGUAGCCACGUGCGGCGCGGAUAACCGCUGAAGGCAUCUAAGCGGGAAGCCGUUCCCGAGAUCAGUUCUCCUUUCGGUAAGGGCCCAGGUAGACUACCUGGUCGAUAGGCCGCAGGUGCAAGCACGGCGACGUGCUCAGCCGAGCGGUACUAAUAGCCCGAGCUCUUACCCGC